GGCCACGUGGUUGCUGGAGCCUGUGAUCUCUGUACAGCACUGCAGUUAUGAAAUGGCCAAUAUGAGAACUGUGAUUUUUGCAUGGGGGCCGAUUUCCUCUUUCAGUCUCCGUAGCCCGGUCACAGUAACAUAU
Pseudophryne corroboree (corroboree frog) is the source of this 133-nucleotide small nucleolar RNA. RefSeq annotates it as small nucleolar RNA SNORA84. NCBI's taxonomy places the organism in Eukaryota, Metazoa, Chordata, Amphibia, Anura, Myobatrachidae. The transcript has a single exon. The record is from RefSeq and is a predicted model, not a curated record.